UGGCCUUGACAUACUAAGAACUUUCCAGAGAUGGAUUGGUGCCUUCGGGAACUUAGAUACAGGUGCUGCAUGGCUGUCGUCAGCUCGUGUCGUGAGAUGUUGGGUUAAGUCCGCAACGAGCGCAACCCUUUUCCUUAUUUGCCAGCGGGUCAUGCCGGGAACUUUAAGGAUACCGCCAGUGACAAACUGGAGGAAGGCGGGGACGACGUCAAGUCAUCAUGGCCCUUACGGCCAGGGCUACACACGUGCUACAAUGGUCGGUACAAAGGGUUGCUACCUCGCGAGAGGAUGCUAAUCUCAAAAAGCCGAUCGUAGUCCGGAUCGCAGUCUGCAACUCGACUGCGUGAAGUCGGAAUCGCUAGUAAUCGCGGAUCAGAAUGCCGCGGUGAAUACGUUCCCGGGCCUUGUACACACCGCCCGUCACACCAUGGGAGUUUGUUGCACCAGAAGUAGGUAGUCUAACCGCAAGGAGGACGCUUACCACGGUGUGGCCGAUGACUGGGGUGAAGUCGUAACAAGGUAGGCGUAGAUGA
RNAcentral lists this ribosomal RNA (533 nucleotides) under uncultured bacterium. RNAcentral describes it as "bacterial SSU rRNA". It matches the Rfam family "Bacterial small subunit ribosomal RNA", at positions 976 to 1509 of the family's 1533-position model. The record is from RNAcentral.